RNAcentral lists this ribosomal RNA (492 nucleotides) under uncultured bacterium. Its description in RNAcentral is "partial 16S ribosomal RNA". It matches the Rfam family "Bacterial small subunit ribosomal RNA", at positions 29 to 507 of the family's 1533-position model. The record is from RNAcentral.
AGUGAACGCUGGCGGUAGGCCUAACACAUGCCAGUCGAACGGCAGCACAGUAAGAGCUUGCUCUUACGGGUGGCGAGUGGCGGACGGGUGAGGAAUACAUCGGAAUCUACUUUUUCGUGGGGGAUAACGUAGGGAAACUUACGCUAAUACCGCAUACGACCUACGGGUGAAAGCAGGGGAUCUUCGGACCUUGCGCGAUUGAAUGAGCCGAUGUCGGAUUAGCUAGUUGGCGGGGUAAAGGCCCACCAAGGCGACGAUCCGUAGCUGGUCUGAGAGGAUGAUCAGCCACACUGGAACUGAGACACGGUCCAGACUCCUACGGGAGGCAGCAGUGGGGAAUAUUGGACAAUGGGCGCAAGCCUGAUCCAGCCAUACCGCGUGGGUGAAGAAGGCCUUCGGGUUGUAAAGCCCUUUUGUUGGGAAAGAAAAGCAGCAGGUUAAUACCCCGCUGUUCUGACGGUACCCAAAUAAUAAGCACCGGCUAACUUCGUG